RNAcentral lists this ribosomal RNA (392 nucleotides) under uncultured bacterium. RNAcentral describes it as "partial 16S ribosomal RNA". It matches the Rfam family "Bacterial small subunit ribosomal RNA", at positions 523 to 918 of the family's 1533-position model. The record is from RNAcentral.
AUACGGAGGAUCCGAGCGUUAUCCGGAUUUAUUGGGUUUAAAGGGUGCGCAGGCGGCCAUUUAAGUCAGCGGUUAAAUCGUGGGGCUCAACCCCAUUCUGCCGUUGAUACUGGGUGGCUUGAUUGCGGUCGAGGUUGGCGGAAUUCGUUGUGUAGCGGUGAAAUGCGUAGAUAUGACGAAGAACACCGAUUGCGUAGGCAGCUGACCAGACCGCAAAUGACGCUCAUGCACGAAAGUGCGGGGAUCGAACAGGAUUAGAUACCCUGGUAGUCCGCACAGUAAACGAUGAAUACUUGUUUUCGGCGAUAUAAUGUCGGAGGCAAAGCGAAAGCGAUAAGUAUUCCACCUGGGGAGUACGCCGGCAACGGUGAAACUCAAAUGAAUUGGCGGGG